ACUUGAAUAGCUUAUAAAGAGCAUAACAUUGAAGAUGUUAAGGAGAUAUUAUUAUCUUUAGGUA
Molecule: transfer RNA, 64 nt
Filed under: Teleogryllus emma (emma field cricket)
Lineage: Eukaryota; Metazoa; Arthropoda; Insecta; Orthoptera; Gryllidae
Description: tRNA-Phe
Source: RNAcentral